Streptococcus sp. DD11 is the source of this 77-nucleotide non-coding RNA. The record is from Rfam. Lineage: Bacteria; Bacillati; Bacillota; Bacilli; Lactobacillales; Streptococcaceae.
UGAGUGUUAUGAUGAUGGAGCAGUUUAUUUUGCUCUUAGUCUAGCUCUGGUCUACCGCCAGAAGUUUCUUCUGGCGG